UACGUAGGGGGCAAGCGUUGUCCGGAUUUAUUGGGCGUAAAGAGCGUGUAGGCGGCCUGACAGGUCUGCUGUGAAAACUCGAGGCUCAACCUCGAGAUGUCGGCGGAAACCGUCUGGCUAGAGUCCGGAAGAGGAGAGUGGAAUUCCUGGUGUAGCGGUGAAAUGCGUAGAUAUCAGGAAGAACACCAAUGGCGAAAGCAGCUUUCUGGGACGGUACUGACGCUGAGACGCGAAAGCGUGGGGAGCGAACAGG
This 253-nucleotide ribosomal RNA is filed under the name uncultured bacterium. RNAcentral describes it as "partial 16S ribosomal RNA". It matches the Rfam family "Bacterial small subunit ribosomal RNA", at positions 524 to 776 of the family's 1533-position model. The record is from RNAcentral.